UGGGCCUGGCUCUGCCUCUGCUGGGAUUAAUGGUGGAAUGGCUUCCUGUUUCUUCUCAUCAAGUUCAUACUGUAAGCCUGGGUGAGCUACUUUAUUUGAGGAACAGUAAGUUACCUCAACAACUGACUGGCUGCCAUCUGGAUUGAUUCGGAAGGAUCCCAUCUGAAUGGUCUUCUUGGGGUCCACGCGGGCAAUUUCCCACUCUAAUUCAUCCACCAGAGCCCUGCAAGCUGGUGUCAGGGAAGAGAAUAGGGGGUGGGGACGGUGAGAGGAAUGGGUCAACCCAAGGGGUUUCCUAUCCAUCCUUGUUCCAAGCUUCAGAUCUUAUAACCCAAGGGUCAGCUUC
Mastomys coucha (southern multimammate mouse) is the source of this 346-nucleotide long non-coding RNA. RefSeq lists it as uncharacterized. The record is from RefSeq and is a predicted model, not a curated record. NCBI's taxonomy places the organism in Eukaryota, Metazoa, Chordata, Mammalia, Rodentia, Muridae. The transcript has 2 exons.